This 465-nucleotide ribosomal RNA is filed under the name Vreelandella stevensii. Its description in RNAcentral is "partial 16S ribosomal RNA". It matches the Rfam family "Bacterial small subunit ribosomal RNA", at positions 338 to 795 of the family's 1533-position model. Lineage: Bacteria; Pseudomonadati; Pseudomonadota; Gammaproteobacteria; Oceanospirillales; Halomonadaceae. The record is from RNAcentral.
CCUACGGGAGGCAGCAGUGGGGAAUAUUGGACAAUGGGGGGAACCCUGAUCCAGCCAUGCCGCGUGUGUGAAGAAGGCCCUCGGGUUGUAAAGCACUUUCAGUGAGGAAGAACGCCUGGUGGUUAAUACCCAUCAGGAAAGACAUCACUCACAGAAGAAGCACCGGCUAACUCCGUGCCAGCAGCCGCGGUAAUACGGAGGGUGCGAGAGUUAAUCGGAAUUACUGGGCGUAAAGCGCGCGUAGGUGGCUUGAUAAGCCGGUUGUGAAAGCCCCGGGCUCAACCUGGGAACGGCAUCCGGAACUGUCAAGCUAGAGUGCAGGAGAGGAAGGUAGAAUUCCCGGUGUAGCGGUGAAAUGCGUAGAGAUCGGGAGGAAUACCAGUGGCGAAGGCGGCCUUCUGGACUGACACUGACACUGAGGUGCGAAAGCGUGGGUAGCAAACAGGAUUAGAUACCCUGGUAGUC